GUCCCACUACCUCCCGUCGCCCGUCACCUGAUUUCCCCCAUGGUAGUUUUCUAAUCGAGCGUAUGCGGCGGUUGGCGAUUGAGCGGCCGCCGGCGAGCGCAUGAGCGGCGGAUGGACUCGGUGGCCAUAGGAGCGCAGCUGCUGGGCUCUGCCACGACCGUGUCCUCGGCUGCGUCGUGGCCGGCGGCGAGCGGCGGAUGCGGGAUGCGCUGUGGGUGUCCUUCGCUCCGCUGUGUUCUGCCGACAAAUCGACGGCGACCGGCUGUAGGUGUGAUUGCGGCCGGCGGCGGGCGGUUGCAGGCAGGGUUGCUGCGAGCGGCUGCUGCUGGGGAUCUUAUCGGCUUGAGGCUUGGUGAGUGGCAGAUCCUCCUCUCCGCCUCCCACAGCAGCUCGGCCGUCUGUUCCUCCACGUUCCGCACGGCCGGCUAGCCGUCAACUUCGCCGCGCUACCAGGUCAUGCUGCAGCUGUCCUCGUCUCGUCCCCAUACCAUAACCAUACCACCAUGAUGGCAUAGGAGUGCAGAACCACCGUAAAGAUAGUCUGUCGACUGAAAACGGAAGCUUGAAAAUUUUGCGCUGCAGGUAUGAUGUGUUAUACUGUUAUUGGCCGAUUCACUGGUUCUGUGUUGUCCGUAUGAAAAUUGAUGGUAGUUUGAAUGAAAAAAUGCAUGGAAGUUGGCUAAACCUGUUAGUUUAUUUGCUUCUAACUUUGAUCAUGUUCCCAGCCUUAAUAGAUUUGGCCUUACAGACCAAUAUAGAUACAGUAUGCCAAAUGUAUUUUAAAUCUGGGAAAAUUACUACAGAGGAUAUUCCGGUUGUUGGCCAUUGAGCUUGGAUGACAUUCUAAUUUUUGAAUGAUUUUUUGUAUGCUCACAUGAGGCCAUGCAUCAUGUACUUGUAUAUGGGGCCAUUCAGUCAUGCAUUAAACCAUGCAAUAAGUUAUUGUUGCAUUGGUUGUUCUUAUGUCUCAUUGCCACUAAGAACUACAUGGAAAUAAGUUAUUUAUGUUGGUACCGAGAAUUCUUACAUUGACAAUAAGUUAUACUACAAGCUCUGCAGAACUUUGGUUUAACCUGCCCUAUCACGAUAAAACAAAGCGAUUAACCUACACGAUCACGAGUUCAUGACAUAAAGUUAAUUCCCUCUUUUGCGUUUUGUCAUGAUAACACAUAUCAUUUAUCCAGCUGCUUGUGGUCUCGUAGUUGUAGAGGACUAUCCUUCAUGAGGUUAUAUUAAACAUGUCAGAAUUAUACCCAUGAUAGCCUGACGAUGAGUUAACUGUUAUUCCAACAAAAGACUGCAAAUUCUUUCUCUGACAAUGUCACACCCACAUAUAUCUCUGAUGUUGGCCGUCUAGGGACCUAAAAUUUUGAGGUGGUCAUAUCAAUAGCCAAAAUGUGCCACCUUUCUGCAGCGUGCUGUUGUGUUUGCCAAUAGGUCUAUUGCCUUCUUGAUUUCAUUAUUCUGUACACAUAAUCUUUUGGGACAGUGCACCUUAAAAUUCUUAAAUUUUAUAUAUAUGUCUGAUGCAGUCGUUGUAAAGGUGCUUCUCUUACCUAUUAACUUGUUAACUACAGGGGUGAACAUAACUGUAUCAUCUGGCUUGAAAAUAAAUGCUUUGUUUGCAGAACACUCUGAACGAAAGAGCUAGAUGAUGUCUUCUAUAAGUGUGGACUUUCAAAGCAUGGAAAGAAGCAGGUUUGUUCACUGCUAUUUUGUAUAUCAACGUUUUACAAAAAUAAAUUCCAGGCGUUAAUUUACUUCACAUCCAUUGCUCAUAUGUGUCUAGGCUCCCUUUAUUGUGGGAAAGCACAUAAACGAUUGAAUGUUUGAUUGUUUGUGGUCUCCAUAUAAAUGACAUAAACAAUUUGAUCCUAAAACCAGAUUUAACUUCUUUUGAGGUCAAACAAAUAUCUGAAUGUAACAUGUUUGCUGUUGUGUUGGCCUUGUGUGGCCUGAGGCGAGAGUCUGAAUCCAAUAAUGUCUUUUUCUGGUGAAUAUUCAUACCUGGAGUAUCCAAUGGCGCCAUUCAGUGUGACGUUAGAUGCUUGCCCAAUAUUAUUUUGAUCAGAUGCAUUUUCCGUUUGAAUUACAGCCUGUAGCUCUUCGCUUCCUUCACAAACCAUACAUUUAAAUCUUGAAACAAAGGAUAUUGCGUCUGCAACAUUUUUGCGGCAUCCGAGGGGAUUUUGGUGAUGAUCUAGUGUUGGCGUUUCUGUAUUUUGGUGCUCAGAUGUGGAUGAUCGCCUGGUCGUGUUGGUAAGCUGUUGUAUGACCAGUAUUUGAGUAAUGCUAGAUGUUAUCUUGCCUCUCCUUUACCACCCAAACUAUUAAAGUACUACAUUGAUCUUGUUGCGACGACUGAUCCUUCCUGCUGUCCUGUGGUAAUGAGAAGUGAUGCAAUUACAUUCUGCGAUUGUAUAACAUAUUAUUUUGUUAAUUGCACAUGAAUAAUUUACGUUGUUUUCUUCAGAAUUAUACUGCUUAGUUUGUUAGUCGUUAAAGAUUUUCUUCUUUAUGGCAUACCGUUUUCUUUGUUUAUGGCUGUUUUACCCGUGUUACAUAAUGUCAUACCUAUUAUUUUUCUUGAUCUGGGCCUAAAAAUCAUCCUAGGAGGAACUGUUAUGCACACCAGCUUGCAGCAAGUAUGGCCUUAAAAUGGGUCACAAGGCGGCAACAUGAAUGUCAGAGGCAAUGGGUUAUCUGCUGGAGCUAUAAGAACUAAGAACCCGAUGUCAUAUUCUAGAGAAUGUGGACGAAGAAGAUGAUUAACAGAAAUAUGAUGAUUGUAGACGGAAGCAAUUAGUACUACUAUGCCAUGUGCAAUUAGUUAGAAUGUAAUGAGUCUUUUGUGAUGUGCUCCAUAACUCAUGUCCUGUACUUCGAAGCCGGAAUGUAAUGACUUUUUGUUCUUCUAA
Long non-coding RNA from Lolium perenne, 2918 nucleotides. RefSeq lists it as uncharacterized. Lineage: Eukaryota; Viridiplantae; Streptophyta; Magnoliopsida; Poales; Poaceae. The record is from RefSeq and is a predicted model, not a curated record.